Molecule: unclassified non-coding RNA, 301 nt
Organism: Dipodomys ordii (Ord's kangaroo rat)
Lineage: Eukaryota; Metazoa; Chordata; Mammalia; Rodentia; Heteromyidae
Gene: 7SK
Rfam family: 7SK RNA
About the family: 7SK was discovered as an abundant small nuclear RNA in the mid-70s but a possible function has only recently been suggested. Two independent studies have found that 7SK RNA binds the CDK9/cyclin T complex (known as elongation factor P-TEFb).
Source: Ensembl
AGAUGUGAGGGCAACCUGGCUGUGACAUGUCACUGCAUUGAUCGCCAGGGCUGAUUUGGCUGAUCUGGCUGGACAGGCAGGUGUCCCCUUUCUUAGCACUCCAUGUGCUUCUCUCCCAAAGGUGUGCACUCGGUUAGAGAGGAUGACCAUCUUGGAUGGAGGACUAAUCUUCAGUCAAGGGUAUAUAGGUAGCUGCACUCCCCGCCAGAGCCUCCAAACAAACUCUCAGGAAAUCAGCAAGCAUUUAGAAGGUGAAGUGAAUAGAAGGAAGAGUUAAAAUUCCCCAAAGUGAGGUUAAUUU